UGGCCCUUAUGUCCUGGGCUACACACGUGCUACAAUGGCGGUGACAGUGGGAAGCCAGGCAGCGAUGCCGAGCUGAUCCUCAAAAGCCGUCUCAGUUCGGAUUGCACUCUGCAACUCGGGUGCAUGAAGGUGGAAUCGCUAGUAAUCGUGGAUCAGCAUGCCACGGUGAAUACGUUCCCGGGCCUUGUACACACCGCCCGUCACACCAUGGGAUUUGGUUUGACCUUAAGUUGGUGCGCUAACCGCAAGGAGGCAGCCAACCACGGUCGGGUUAGAGACUGGGGUGAAGUCGUAACAAGGUAGUCGUAA
This 309-nucleotide ribosomal RNA is filed under the name uncultured bacterium. RNAcentral's name for it is "bacterial SSU rRNA". It matches the Rfam family "Bacterial small subunit ribosomal RNA", at positions 1196 to 1505 of the family's 1533-position model. The record is from RNAcentral.